This 23-nucleotide ribosomal RNA is filed under the name Pilobolus longipes. RNAcentral's name for it is "partial 18S ribosomal RNA". Lineage: Eukaryota; Fungi; Mucoromycota; Mucoromycetes; Mucorales; Pilobolaceae. The record is from RNAcentral.
AGGCGGGAGGAGAGAGGACAUUG